CAAGUCAUGGGGGCCCGCAAGGGCAACCGGCGAACGGGUGCGUAACACGUGAGCAAUCUGCCGAUUUCUGGGGGAUAGCCGGCCCAACGGCCGGGUAAUACCGCAUACGUUCUUGAAGGGGAGUCCCUUUAAGAAGAAACCUCCGGGGGAAAUCGAGGAGCUCGCGGCCUAUCAGCUAGUUGGCGGUGUAAUGGACCACCAAGGCGAUGACGGGUAGCUGGUCUGAGAGGAUGGCCAGCCACAUUGGGACUGAGAGACGGCCCAGACUCCUACGGGAGGCAGCAGUGGGGAAUCUUGCGCAAUGGCCGAAAGGCUGACGCAGCGACGCCGCGUGUGGGAUGAAGCUCUUCGGGGUGUAAACCACUGUUGCCCGGGACGAACAUCCUCUUUCGAGAGGACUGACGGUACCGGGUGAGGAAGCACCGGCUAACUCCGUGCCAGCAGCCGCGGUAAUACGGAGGGUGCGAGCGUUGUCCGGAAUCACUGGGCGUAAAGGGCGCGUAGGUGGCCUGUGGAAGUCUGCGGUGAAAGCCCGGCGCUCAACGCCGGGUCUGCCGUGGAUACUCUCGGGCUCGAGCUUACUAGAGGCAGACGGAAUUCCGGGUGUAGCGGUGGAAUGCGUAGAGAUCCGGAAGAACACCGGUGGCGAAGGCGGUCUGCUGGGGUAAUGCUGACACUGAUGCGCGACAGCGUGGGGAGCAAACAGGAUUAGAUACCCUGGUAGUCCACGCCGUAAACGAUGGGCACUAGAUGCUUGGGGGAGCGACCCCCUGAGUGUCGUCGCUAACGCAUUAAGUGCCCCGCCUGGGGAGUACGGCCGCAAGGCUGAAACUCAAAGGAAUUGACGGGGGCCCGCACAAGCGGUGGA
RNAcentral lists this ribosomal RNA (868 nucleotides) under uncultured Gemmatimonadota bacterium. RNAcentral describes it as "bacterial SSU rRNA". It matches the Rfam family "Bacterial small subunit ribosomal RNA", at positions 58 to 936 of the family's 1533-position model. Lineage: Bacteria; Pseudomonadati; Gemmatimonadota. The record is from RNAcentral.